CAGCAGCCGCGGUAAUACAGAGGGUGCAAGCGUUAAUCGGAAUUACUGGGCGUAAAGCGCGCGUAGGUGGUUUGUUAAGUUGGAUGUGAAAGCCCCGGGCUCAACCUGGGAACUGCAUUCGAAACUGGCAGGCUAGAGUCUUGUAGAGGGGGGUAGAAUUCCAGGUGUAGCGGUGAAAUGCGUAGAGAUCUGGAGGAAUACCGGUGGCGAAGGCGGCCCCCUGGACAAAGACUGACGCUCAGGUGCGAAAGCGUGGGGAGCAAACAGGAUUAGAUACCCCUGUAGUCCCUGUCUCUUAUAC
Molecule: ribosomal RNA, 301 nt
Filed under: uncultured bacterium
Lineage: Bacteria
Description: partial 16S ribosomal RNA
Rfam family: Bacterial small subunit ribosomal RNA
Source: RNAcentral